UAGGGAAUCUUCCGCAAUGGACGCAAGUCUGACGGAGCAACGCCGCGUGAGUGAAGAAGGAUUCGGUUUGUUAAACUCCGUUUUUUGGGGAAAAACACGCCUAGAGGAAAUUGUAAGCCUUUGAACGUAACCUACCAGAAAACCCACGGCAACCACCUUCCCUCCAGCGGCGGUAACACGAGGUUGUAAGCCUUUUUCCGCUUUUAUUGGGCGUAAAGCGAGCGAAGGCGGUCAUUUAAGUCUGAUGUGAAAGCCACCGGCUCAACCGGGGAGGGUCAUUGGAAACUGGUUGACUUGAGUGCAGAAGGGGAGGGUGGAAUUCCAUGUGUAGCGGUGAAAUGCGUAGAUAUAUGGAGGAACACCAGUGGCGAAGGCGACUCUCUGGUCAGUAACUGACGCUGAGGCUCGAAAGCGUGGGUAGCAAACAGG
Molecule: ribosomal RNA, 429 nt
Filed under: Bacteroidota bacterium
Lineage: Bacteria; Pseudomonadati; Bacteroidota
Description: Bacteroidetes bacterium partial 16S ribosomal RNA
Rfam family: Bacterial small subunit ribosomal RNA
Source: RNAcentral